UACGAAGGGUGCAAGCGUUACUCGGAAUUACUGGGCGUAAAGCGUGCGUAGACGGUUAUGUAAGUCAGAUGUGAAAGCCCCGGGCUCAACCUGGGAAUUGCAUUUGAGACUGCAUAGCUAGGGUGCGGAAGAGGGAAGCGGAAUUUCCGGUGUAGCGGUGAAAUGCGUAGAUAUCGGAAGGAACACCAGUGGCGAAAGCGGCUUCCUGGUCCAGCACCGACGUUCAGGCACGAAAGCGUGGGGAGCCAAAGGG
RNAcentral lists this ribosomal RNA (253 nucleotides) under uncultured bacterium. Its description in RNAcentral is "partial 16S ribosomal RNA". It matches the Rfam family "Bacterial small subunit ribosomal RNA", at positions 524 to 776 of the family's 1533-position model. The record is from RNAcentral.